AUGCUAGAAUUUCUGAAUCUAUCACAUAAUCAGUUCGGUGGCACCAUUCCAUCCUCCUUUGCAAGCAUGGUGAGCCUUUCAACGCUUGACGUGUCAUACAAUGACUUGGAAGGACCAGUCCCAACACUCAGGCAACUCCAAAAUGCUUCAGCAAAUUGGUUUCUUCCCAAUAAAGGUCUGUGUGGUAACCUCUCUGGCCUACAACUUUGUGAUUCAACUCCAGUUCCAGCCGGUCACCACAAACGGAAGAUACUUGGUUUGCUUUUGCCAAUUGUUCUUGUGGUGGGUUUUGGCAUUUUUUCUGCAACUGUUGUCAUAAUAGUGCUUAGUCGUAACAAGACAAAACCACAAGAAGUUGUUACUGCUGAAGGAAGGGACCUAUUCUCUGUUUGGAAUUUCGACGGAAGAUUAGCAUUUGACGAUAUCGUAAGGGCAACGGAAGACUUUGAUGAUAAGUACAUCAUUGGAACAGGAGGAUACGGCAAUGUCUACAAGGCACAACUCCAAGACAGUCAGCUAGUUGCUGUGAAGAAGCUUCAUCAGACAGAAGAAGAGUUGGAUGACGAAAGAAGGUUUCGCAGUGAAAUGGAAAUCUUAUUACAGAUCCGCCAACGAAGCAUUGUCAAAAUGACGUUGGAAAAUGAGGAGCUAGCAAAGGAAUUGGAUUGGCAGAAGAGAAUUGUUGCUGUAAAUGAUGUGGCUCAAGCAGUAUCUUAUUUGCACCACGAAUGCAGUCCACCUAUAAUCCAUCGAGAUAUAACGAGCAACAACAUCUUACUUGAUGCAACCUUCAAGGCUUUCGUCUCAGAUUUCGGCACAGCAAGGAUUCUUAAGCCUGAUUCAUCAAACUGGAGUGCACUAGCAGGGACGUAUGGGUACAUAGCUCCUGAACUCUCGUGCACAUCUGUUGUGACGGAGAAAUGUGAUGUCUAUAGCUUCGGUGUGGUUGUGCUAGAGCUAGUGAUGGGGAAGCAUCCAAGGGAUCUAUUAGACGGUAGUUUGUUGAGCGGGGAACAAGCUAUGCUAGUAAAAGAUAUUCUAGACCAACGGCCGACAACACCAACAACAACAGAAGAGAAUAGCUUAGCUCUCCUCAUCAAGAUGGCCUUUUCUUGCUUGGAAUCCUCUCCACAAGCAAGGCCAACCAUGCGAGAGGCAUACCAAACACUCAUCCAGCGACCCACUUCCAGUUCCUACCCCGUGCCUUUCAGCGCACUUACAUUACAGCAAGGGAGUGAUGCAUGUUGA
This 1248-nucleotide ribosomal RNA is filed under the name Triticum aestivum (bread wheat). RNAcentral describes it as "partial small subunit ribosomal RNA". The record is from RNAcentral. Lineage: Eukaryota; Viridiplantae; Streptophyta; Magnoliopsida; Poales; Poaceae.